This 312-nucleotide long non-coding RNA is filed under the name Columba livia (rock pigeon). Its description in RNAcentral is "partial uncharacterized LOC102083680". Lineage: Eukaryota; Metazoa; Chordata; Aves; Columbiformes; Columbidae. The record is from RNAcentral.
AUUUCCAUACAUAUUUUCUUCAAUGGCUGUUGAGAAGGUGCUGAGAUAUAAUUAAAAUCACAAGAUCUAACUUUGGUAAAAUGUUAUCAAAGAACUUAUAAGCAGUUUGCAUGUUUGUAUGCAAGGAUGUGGAAAUUCAACCGUUGCAGCCAGGCCUGGAAAUCCCAAAUCUACAAGACCAAAUAAAACAAACUGAUCCCCCCACUCCUUUUCAUCAUCUUUUUGAGAAUUGUUCCACCAUCUGGUGACAGUUAAAGCCCUAUCUGAGAUCUUGCUGCAAGCUCUCAUUUCUUUUGAACCACUUUCAAGAAA